GUCCACAGUAGCAGAUAUGGUUCAGAAGAUUUGGCAAUUUACAUAUCAAAAUUCCUUAAAGAGAUAAUCUCGCUCAAUACAUAUGGAGAGUGUUGUGCUGAUAACUUUACCAGUAAUCUCCACAAGAGCAACUGCCAUCCCUGAAAUGAUGAAAUCUUUUAUUAUCCCUAACUAUCAAUUCCCUCCCAACAAUCUUGGACAUGAUCUUGAUAGCAUUGUGACAAUCACCACACACCCGGAGGUUCUUAAUGAUCCUCAAGGGUGUUCUUGCAGGAGUACUGAUGAGACCAUAUGCAAUUGCCAAACGCUCACUGUGAUAUAAUAAGGCUUGCUCCUUGGCUUCUUGAUCAAUGUCAUGAAGAACAUAUCUAGUAUCUGGCACAUAACUCACAGCCUUACUCAUUGCCUUCAAUUUCUCAUCAUCUUUGUAAAGGGUAGGAUUCCGGAACUCAACAAUUCUAUUCUUUCCUUCAAGCAUGCUGAUGGCACUAAAUUUCUUUGGCAGCGGAGUAGGGAUCUUGUUGGCAACAGACAUUGAUGAGUCAAGAGCAACCAUCAGCUCCUCAGCACGGUCUUCAAGAUCAACAUCUCCAUGAAUUCGAGCAUAAUUCCUCAAUGCACCCCAAAUUUCCACUGUAGGUGCAAAAGGCAGUUUCUGAAUGUACUCUUCAAUUUCAUCAACAAAUCCAGACUUUCCAAGAACAUCUAUAACCCCCAAAUAAUGUUCCAUCCCAGGAUUAAUUCCAUACUCAUUUUUCAUUGACUCAAAAUGUAAAAAUCCUUCCUCCACUGCAUCUGCACUAGCACAAGCAGACAAAACUGCAAGAAACGUUUCCUCAGUUGGUUUCAACCCCAGUUUCCUCAUCUGCUCAAAUAAUUGCAACCCUUCAUCUCCCAAGUUAUUAUUUGCAUACCCAUUUAUCAUCAGAUGCCAUGUCUCCAUAUUCCUAUCUGGCAUAUGAUCAAAAACUCUCCUAGCAUCAGUCAUACUUGCACAUUUCCCAUACAUUUCAAUCACCUUAUUGUUAAACUUGAGAUCACCUCUAUAUGUUGAUUGCAAAAAGUAAUCAUGUACCUUUUUGGCAUCCUCAAGUUUCCCACACAAAACAAAGCAUAAAAACAAUCAGCAUCAGCUUUAACACCUUCAUCCAUCAACUCAAUGGCUUCCUUAACCUUCCCCCCCUGACACAAACGCAUCAAAUCCACUAUUGAAGGAGCCGGAGCAGCAGCAGGAGCAGGAGCCGGGGCAGGAACAUUGACGUUAGCAUUCAAAUUAGGUACUCGAGUCUCCAAGGCCCCACGUUCUUGAUUUGGGUUUUGCUGAGGAGCCCACUGAACAGGAUUUCUAGCUUGUGGGUAUGUCUGACUUUGAUUGUUCCACUGAUUUGGGCUUCUAGGUUGCCGAUAAUCCUGAACACUAGGGCGCACCUGACCA
RNAcentral lists this unclassified non-coding RNA (1435 nucleotides) under Hevea brasiliensis (rubber tree). The record is from RNAcentral. Lineage: Eukaryota; Viridiplantae; Streptophyta; Magnoliopsida; Malpighiales; Euphorbiaceae.